This 72-nucleotide transfer RNA is filed under the name Ipomoea nil (Japanese morning glory). It matches the Rfam family "tRNA". Rfam says of the family: Transfer RNA (tRNA) molecules are approximately 80 nucleotides in length. Their secondary structure includes four short double-helical elements and three loops (D, anti-codon, and T loops). The record is from Rfam by way of RNAcentral. Lineage: Eukaryota; Viridiplantae; Streptophyta; Magnoliopsida; Solanales; Convolvulaceae.
GCCUUUAUAGCUAGGUGGUAGAUCGUCAAUCUUGUAAACUGUAGGUCUGUAGUUCAAUUUUGCAUGGGGGCA